This 458-nucleotide ribosomal RNA is filed under the name uncultured bacterium. Its description in RNAcentral is "partial 16S ribosomal RNA". It matches the Rfam family "Bacterial small subunit ribosomal RNA", at positions 338 to 795 of the family's 1533-position model. The record is from RNAcentral.
CCUACGGGUGGCAGCAGUGAGGAAUAUUGGUCAAUGGGCGAGAGCCUGAACCAGCCAAGUCGCGUGAGGGAGUACUGCCCUAUGGGUUGUAAACCUCUUUUGUCGGGGAGCAAAAGCCGGACGUGUCCGGCUGUGAGAGUACCCGAAGAAAAAGCAUCGGCUAACUCCGUGUCAGCAGCCGCGGUAAUACGGAGGAUGCGAGCGUUAUCCGGAUUUAUUGGGUUUAAAGGGUGCGCAGGCGGAUUUUUAAGUCAGCGGUAAAAUCGUGGGGCUCAACCCCAUCCAGCCGUUGAAACUGGGGAUCUAGAGUGUGCGAGAGGUAUGCGGAAUGCGUGGUGUAGCGGUGAAAUGCAUAGAUAUCACGCAGAACCCCGAUUGCGAAGGCAGCAUACCGGUGCACAACUGACGCUCAGGCACGAAAGCGUGGGUAUCGAACAGGAUUAGAUACCCCAGUAGUC